Molecule: transfer RNA, 67 nt
Filed under: Oreochromis niloticus (Nile tilapia)
Lineage: Eukaryota; Metazoa; Chordata; Actinopteri; Cichliformes; Cichlidae
Rfam family: tRNA
About the family: Transfer RNA (tRNA) molecules are approximately 80 nucleotides in length. Their secondary structure includes four short double-helical elements and three loops (D, anti-codon, and T loops). Further hydrogen bonds mediate the characteristic L-shaped molecular structure. tRNAs have two regions of fundamental functional importance: the anti-codon, which is responsible for specific mRNA codon recognition, and the 3' end, to which the tRNAs corresponding amino acid is attached (by aminoacyl-tRNA synthetases). tRNAs cope with the degeneracy of the genetic code in two manners: having more than one tRNA (with a specific anti-codon) for a particular amino acid; and 'wobble' base-pairing, i.e. permitting non-standard base-pairing at the 3rd anti-codon position.
Source: Rfam by way of RNAcentral
UGAGUUUAGCUCAGUGAGAUGAGCAGCUGCCUUUAGACCAGCAGGGCCAGGUUCGAAUCCUGCUCAA